Molecule: ribosomal RNA, 253 nt
Filed under: uncultured bacterium
Lineage: Bacteria
Description: partial 16S ribosomal RNA
Rfam family: Bacterial small subunit ribosomal RNA
Source: RNAcentral
UACAGAGGGUGCGAGCGUUAAUCGGAAUUACUGGGCGUAAAGCGCGCGUAGGCGGCUUUGCAAAUCGGGUGUGAAAUCCCCAGGCUUAACCUGGGAACUGCAUUCGAGACUGCAUUGCUAGAGUAUGGGAGAGGGAAGUGGAAUUUCCGGUGUAGCGGUGAAAUGCGUAGAUAUCGGAAGGAACAUCAGUGGCGAAAGCGACUUUCUGGACCAAUACUGACGCUCAUGUGCGAAAGCGUGGGGAGCAAACAGG